CUCAAUAUAAGCAAACUGGAGAUUGCAACGUCCUCAGCAAAGCGCCUGACUCACAUGGAGGAGUUUUUCCACACAAAAAGUAAUGGUUUCAUGCCCCAGGAUGUGAAAUGUGGACAGAAAAAUUUUAUCCAGAAGGUCAACAACUUUUAACUUUCAGCAGUUCACAUUCAAGCCGCUUUCCCAGGAAGUUCAGCUCCUGCCGCGCCAGGGCGGCUGCGGCCUUCGCAGCACCAGGGUUUGGCUCUGCACGACGGGGGCUGCCGCGGCUGCCUCUGCCUGGAGCCCAGCCUCGCCCCCAUCAUCGUCACCGGGGGUUGCGAAGCCUGGUGGAUGGCACGUCCGCGGGCCCCGCUGGGCGCAGGGUCGCGUUCCACCCGCUGACAGCCCUUCGCCCCGUGACCUGCAACCCUGGACACACAAAAUAUGUGCUCUAGCUGGGUUACUGGCGCUUGCUUUCACCUCUGCAGCCCCUCACCUGGCAGCCGGAGCGUGUAAGGCGCACCCUGCACCCUCGCUGUAGCUGCAGAAGAUUUAUAAGAGCGGUACGUGACUGACAGAUAAGGGACUCCCACAGAGCGAAGACGAGAGCGAGGGAACCAGAAAGCUGUAUGUUUGGACUUGAUUCAAGGAAUUCGGAGCCCCUCUUGUUCAGGCAGGUUCGAAUAGAAAAUUUGCCAAAUCAACCUAACACCAUAAAAAUGUUUCUUGAGAAAAGGCUGGGGCAGAGCUGGGUUUUAAAAAAACCCCACUACCCAAAGCUCUGUGUCCCACCCUGGUAUUUAUGACAUGCACAUGGAUGCUGUUGAUAGCAGAGAUGUUUUUGUAAGUCAAUAAAACGGAAAAAGAUUCCA
This 851-nucleotide long non-coding RNA is filed under the name Anser brachyrhynchus (Pink-footed goose). Its description in RNAcentral is "lncRNA (ENSABRG00000008554.1)". Lineage: Eukaryota; Metazoa; Chordata; Aves; Anseriformes; Anatidae. The record is from RNAcentral.